Molecule: long non-coding RNA, 346 nt
Filed under: Nicotiana benthamiana
Lineage: Eukaryota; Viridiplantae; Streptophyta; Magnoliopsida; Solanales; Solanaceae
Description: long non-coding RNA (NBEN_LNC035047)
Source: RNAcentral
GUCACAUAAAUGCGCAUUCGAAUUUAAGAAGGUAGAUUAUGAAAGUAACCACCUAAAGCAACUACGCGUUUGCACUUUGCAACGGCCAUGGAAUUUGCUAAGUAGCACGCCUCAAAUUCGACGGUUGAGUUAAAGCUAAUUAAAACGAGGGCCAUAUAAUUGAAAUUUGUUCGGCAUGGCGCGCCUCGAAUUAUUUCAAAAGAUUUGCAUUCAACUAAAACGAUCUAUGGAUGUUCAUAUUUAAAGGAUUUAAAUGGAACACUUUGUACCUACUGUGCAGCAGCAAAUAUUUAAUCCCAGCACCUCAAAAGUUAAUCCUACAGAUGAUCGACCAACAACAGCAACA